UACGUAGGUGGCAAGCGUUGUUCGGAAUUAUUGGGCGUAAAGCGCGCGCAGGUGGUUUCUUAAGUCUGAUGUGAAAGCCCACGGCUCAACCGUGGAGGGUCAUUGGAAACUGGGAGACUUGAGUGCAGAAGAGGAUAGUGGAAUUCCAAGUGUAGCGGUGAAAUGCGUAGAGAUUUGGAGGAACACCAGUGGCGAAGGCGACUGUCUGGUCUGUAACUGACACUGAGGCGCGAAAGCGUGGGGAGCAAACAGG
RNAcentral lists this ribosomal RNA (253 nucleotides) under uncultured bacterium. Its description in RNAcentral is "partial 16S ribosomal RNA". It matches the Rfam family "Bacterial small subunit ribosomal RNA", at positions 524 to 776 of the family's 1533-position model. The record is from RNAcentral.